Molecule: unclassified non-coding RNA, 517 nt
Filed under: uncultured Glomus
Lineage: Eukaryota; Fungi; Glomeromycota; Glomeromycetes; Glomerales; Glomeraceae
Description: SSU rRNA
Rfam family: Eukaryotic small subunit ribosomal RNA
Source: RNAcentral
AGCAGCCGCGGUAAUUCCAGCUCCAAUAGCGUAUAUUAAAGUUGUUGCAGUUAAAAGCUCGUAGUUGAAUUUCGGGGUUAGUAGGUUGGUCAUGCCUCUGGUAUGUACUGGUCUCACUGAUUCCUCCUUCCUGAUGAGCCGUAAUGCCAUUAAUUUGGUGUUGCGAGGGAUUUGGACUGUUACUUUGAAAAAUUGAGUGUUUAAAGCAAGCUAACGCUUGAAUACAUUAGCAUGGAAUAAUGAAAUAGGACGUUCGAUCCUAUUUUGUUGGUUUCUAGGAUUGACGUAAUGAUUAAUAGGGAUAGUUGGGGGCAUUAGUAUUCAAUUGUCAGAGGUGAAAUUCUUGGAUUUAUUGAAGACUAACUACUGCGAAAGCAUUUGCCAAGGAUGUUUUCAUUAAUCAAGAACGAAAGUUAGGGAUCGAAGACGAUCAGAUACCGUCGUAGUCUUAACCAUAAACUAUAGCCGACUAGGGAUCGGAUGAUGUUAAUUUUUAAUGACUCUAUUCGGCGUACCG